AGUCAAUUGCCAUCCAUUCUUCCAAUUUGGUAAGUUGUCCUAUAACUUUUUUCAUUGCUUGCACCUAGGUUUGAGCCAGUAAACACUUAUACAUGCCAAUACACACUAAUAUGUUUUGUGCAUCAAAUUAAGUAUCUUGGUAUUGCUAAAUCCUAUUUUAGUACAUGUUUAGCCUAUUCUGGUUCCUUCACCUGUAUUACGCACAAGAUUUAAGUUGCCACACUUCCUGAAUGAUUUUAGUUAUUGUC
Molecule: long non-coding RNA, 248 nt
Filed under: Sorghum bicolor (sorghum)
Lineage: Eukaryota; Viridiplantae; Streptophyta; Magnoliopsida; Poales; Poaceae
Description: long non-coding RNA (SBIC_LNC000449)
Source: RNAcentral